Molecule: ribosomal RNA, 492 nt
Filed under: uncultured bacterium
Lineage: Bacteria
Description: partial 16S ribosomal RNA
Rfam family: Bacterial small subunit ribosomal RNA
Source: RNAcentral
AGUGAACGCUGGCGGUAUGCCUAACACAUGCAAGUCGAACGGCAGCACAGUAAUAGCUUGCUCUUACGGGUGUCGAGUGGCGGACGGGUGAGGAAUACAUCGGAAUCUACUUUUUCGUGGGGGAUAACGUAGGGAAACUUACGCUAAUACCUCAUACGACCUACUGGUGAAAGCAGGGGAUCUUCGGACCUUGCGCGAUUGAAUGAGCCGAUGUCGGAUUAGCUAGUUGGCGGGGUAAAGGCCCACCAAGGCGACGAUCCGUAGCUGGUCUGAGAGGAUGAUCAGCCACACUCGAACUGAGACACGGUCAAGACUCCGACGGGAGGCAGCAGUGGGGAAUAUUGGACAAUGGGAGCAAGCCUGAUCCAGCCAUACCGCGUGGGUGAAGAAGGCCUUCGGGUUGUAAAGCCCUUUUGUUGUGAAAGAAAAGCAGCAGGUUAAUAUCCCGCUGUUCUGACGGUACCCAAAGAAUAAGCACCGGCUAACUUCGUG